GGAGCCAGUAGGACGUACAUCAAAUAUGUAAAUAUACGUGUAUGAUAGAUGUCAACUACGUUGCGCCAUCUAGGUAUGUUUCAGUAUAUUUCUGAGGGUCAGACGGUAUAUUUUAUCGAUAAAUCCGCGGUCACACUGAUUUCAUUGUUUUGAUGAUCAUUUUGCCAAGUUUUGUCUGUUUUUUGUGUUUUUAGAACUAAUCUUCUGCGUCAAGCCGAUGUACAACUCACAGCGUCCGCGUCGUGGCCAUGUGGCCAUGGCGAUGUGUGCGGGUUGAAUGGUUGGGACGAAUGCCUGACUACGUGGAACAAAAACAGAAGCGUCGCAAGAACUAUGCGCUCGUACCAGAUUGAGCUAUUGGCCAUUGUUCAUACCCUGCAUGGAUAGAAUGUAAGUAUAUCAGCGGUACACAUCUAUAUAAUUGACUGACAAUCUUGUGUUUGCUACUCCCCAGUUGGCCAAUGAAGAGUCUGGCAACAACGUGAAGAAAGAUCGCCUCCUGCAUCCCCUGGACAUCUAUGCCCAUUGACUGAGCAAGUUCUACAAGGGUGGCGUCGUUGCACAGAGCAAGACGGCCGGCCUGUUCGAGACCCUCAGAGAUGCCACCGACGAGCAGGUUUGCUAUACUUAGUUGGCUCUGCUGGUUGACAACGAUUGCUUAGACUGCCUACAGCAGCGGAGCGGAACUGCCAGAUGAUCCUCAACUGCACCAUGCUAGCAUCGGCUUAGACAGACAGACCACGCACUCGCAAAGAUCCUGUGGAAAUAACUGAUGGAGCUGGAUGAGCUGGCCUUGACUUAUGGAUCCCAAUAAAUGGAACUCUACCCUUUGACGACAACGAGGAACUGUAGUCCAUUUGCAGAUUGGGCUCCACUGUGCAAGCGACUUGGUUGCAGGCGGCAGGUUAAGAUUAAGAUUAAGAUAGAUCAUAUGUAUAAUCAUAUGUAAAUACUAAUAAGUUUUACCAAUAAAAAUUGUAGCAUACUUUUA
RNAcentral lists this long non-coding RNA (991 nucleotides) under Drosophila guanche. The record is from RNAcentral. Lineage: Eukaryota; Metazoa; Arthropoda; Insecta; Diptera; Drosophilidae.